Molecule: ribosomal RNA, 254 nt
Filed under: uncultured bacterium
Lineage: Bacteria
Description: partial 16S ribosomal RNA
Rfam family: Bacterial small subunit ribosomal RNA
Source: RNAcentral
ACGGGUGAGUAACGCGUGAGUAACCUGCCUUCAAGAGGGGGAUAACAUUCUGAAAAGAAUGCUAAUACCGCAUGACAUAUCGGAAUCACAUGGUUCUGAUAUCAAAGAUUUUAUCGCUUGAAGAUGGACUCGCGUCCGAUUAGUUAGUUGGUGAGGUAACGGCUCACCAAGACCGCGAUCGGUAGCCGGACUGAGAGGUUGACCGGCCACAUUGGGACUGAGACACGGCCCAAACUCCUACGGGAGGCAGCAUG